RNAcentral lists this ribosomal RNA (256 nucleotides) under uncultured bacterium. RNAcentral describes it as "partial 16S ribosomal RNA". It matches the Rfam family "Bacterial small subunit ribosomal RNA", at positions 522 to 776 of the family's 1533-position model. The record is from RNAcentral.
UACGUAAGGGGACCAAGCGUUGUUCGGAAUUACUGGGCGUAAAGCGUGCGCAGGCGGUUUCUCAAGUCAGGGGUGAAAGCCCGGAGCUCAACUCCGGAAUUGCCUUUGAAACUGUGAAGCUAGAGUGCGGGAGAGGUGAGUGGAAUUCCCAGUGUAGAGGUGAAAUUCGUAAGAUAUUGGGAAGAACACCGGUGGCGAAGGCGGCUCACUGGCCCGUUUCUGACGCUCAUGCACGACAGCGUGGGGAUCAAACAGG